AGGACGAACGCUGGCGGCGUGCUUUACACAUGCAAGUCGAGCGGUAAGGCCCUUCGGGGUACACGAGCGGCGAACGGGUGAGUAACACGUGGGUGACCUGCCCCCUACUCUGGGAUAAGCCCGGGAAACUGGGUCUAAUACCGGAUAUGACCGCAUGUCGCAUGGUGUGUGGUGGAAAGCGUUUAGUGGUGGGGAUGGACCCGCGGCCUAUCAGCUUGUUGGUGGGGUAAUGGCCUAUUAAGGCGACGACGGGUAGCCGGCCUGAGAGGGCGAGUCGGCCGACACUGGGACUGAGACACGGCCCAGACUCCUACGGGAGGCAGCAGUGGGGAAUAUUGCACAAUGGGCGGAAGCCUGAUGCAGCGACGCCGCGUGAGGGAUGACGGCCUUCGGGUUGUAAACCUCUUUCAGUACCGACGAAGCGAGAGUGACGGUAGGUACAGAAGAAGCACCGGCCAACUACGUGCCAGCAGCCGC
This 477-nucleotide ribosomal RNA is filed under the name uncultured bacterium. Its description in RNAcentral is "SSU rRNA". It matches the Rfam family "Bacterial small subunit ribosomal RNA", at positions 26 to 518 of the family's 1533-position model. The record is from RNAcentral.